This 1446-nucleotide ribosomal RNA is filed under the name uncultured marine bacterium. RNAcentral's name for it is "bacterial SSU rRNA". It matches the Rfam family "Bacterial small subunit ribosomal RNA". The record is from RNAcentral.
AGAGUUUGAUCAUGGCUCAGGAUGAACGCUGGCGGCGUGCUUAACACAUGCAAGUCGAACGAACCUUCGGGUUAGUGGCGGACGGGUGAGUAACGCGUGAGAAUCUGCCCUCAGGAGGGGGAUAACGGCUGGAAACGGCCGCUAAUACCCCAUAUGCCGCGAGGUGAAAUGAAUUUCGCCUGAGGAUGAGCUCGCGUCUGAUUAGCUAGUUGGUGGGGUAAGAGCUUACCAAGGCUUCGAUCAGUAGCUGGUCUGAGAGGAUGAUCAGCCACACUGGGACUGAGACACGGCCCAGACUCCUACGGGAGGCAGCAGUGGGGAAUUUUCCGCAAUGGGCGAAAGCCUGACGGAGCAACGCCGCGUGAGGGAUGAAGGCCUCUGGGCUGUAAACCUCUUUUAUCAAGGAAGAAGAUCUGACGGUACUUGAUGAAUAAGCCACGGCUAAUUCCGUGCCAGCAGCCGCGGUAAUACGGGAGUGGCAAGCGUUAUCCGGAAUUAUUGGGCGUAAAGCGUCCGCAGGCGGUCUUUUAAGUCUGCUGUUAAAGCGUGGAGCUUAACUCCAUUUCGGCAGUGGAAACUGGAAGACUAGAGUGUGGUAGGGGCAGAGGGAAUUCCCGGUGUAGCGGUGAAAUGCGUAGAUAUCGGGAAGAACACCAGUGGCGAAGGCGCUCUGCUGGGCCAUAACUGACGCUCAUGGACGAAAGCCAGGGGAGCGAAAGGGAUUAGAUACCCCUGUAGUCCUGGCCGUAAACGAUGAACACUAGGUGUCGGGGGAAUCGACCCCCUCGGUGUCGUAGCCAACGCGUUAAGUGUUCCGCCUGGGGAGUAUGCACGCAAGUGUGAAACUCAAAGGAAUUGACGGGGGCCCGCACAAGCGGUGGAGUAUGUGGUUUAAUUCGAUGCAACGCGAAGAACCUUACCAGGGUUUGACAUCCUGCGAAUCCCUUGGAAACGAGGGAGUGCCUUCGGGAACGCAGUGACAGGUGGUGCAUGGCUGUCGUCAGCUCGUGUCGUGAGAUGUUGGGUUAAGUCCCGCAACGAGCGCAACCCACGUCGUUAGUUGCCAGCAUUCAGUUGGGCACUCUAGCGAGACCGCCGGUGAUAAACCGGAGGAAGGUGUGGAUGACGUCAAGUCAUCAUGCCCCUUACAUCCUGGGCUACACACGUACUACAAUGCUACGGACAAAGGGCAGCAAACUCGCGAGAGCUAGCAAAUCCCAUAAACCGUGGCUCAGUUCAGAUCGUAGGCUGCAACUCGCCUACGUGAAGGAGGAAUCGCUAGUAAUCGCAGGUCAGCAUACUGCGGUGAAUACGUUCCCGGGCCUUGUACACACCGCCCGUCACACCAUGGAAGUUGGCCACGCCCGAAGCCGUUACUCCAACCCUUGUGGAGGAGGAUGUCGAAGGUGGGGCUGAUGACUGGGGUGAAGUCGUAACAAGGUAACC